AUACGGAGGGUGCAAGCGUUAAUCGGAAUUACUGGGCGUAAAGCGCGCGUAGGCGGCUUGGUCAGUCGGAUGUGAAAGCCCCGGGCUCAACCUGGGAAUGGCAUUCGAUACUGCCAGGCUAGAGUAUGAGAGAGGGAAGUGGAAUUUCCGGUGUAGCGGUGAAAUGCGUAGAUAUCGGAAGGAACACCAGUGGCGAAGGCGACUUCCUGGCCCAAUACUGACGCUGAGGUGCGAAAGCGUGGGGAGCGAACAGAAUUAGAAACCCCAGUAGUCC
RNAcentral lists this ribosomal RNA (274 nucleotides) under uncultured bacterium. RNAcentral's name for it is "partial 16S ribosomal RNA". It matches the Rfam family "Bacterial small subunit ribosomal RNA", at positions 523 to 796 of the family's 1533-position model. The record is from RNAcentral.